GAUGAACGCUGGCGGCGUGCCUAAUACAUGCAAGUCGAACGAAACUUCUUUAUCACCGAGUGCUUGCACUCACCGAUAAAGAGUUGAGUGGCGAACGGGUGAGUAACACGUGGGCAACCUGCCCAAAAGAGGGGGAUAACACUUGGAAACAGGUGCUAAUACCGCAUAACCAUAGUUACCGCAUGGUAACUAUGUAAAAGGUGGCUAUACUACCGCUUUUGGAUGGGCCCGCGGCGCAUUAGCUAGUUGGUAGGGUAAAGGCUUACCAAGGCAAUGAUGCGUAGCCGAAUUGAGAGGUUGAUCGGCCACAUUGGGACUGAGACACGGCCCAAACUCCUACGGGAGGCAGCAGUAGGGAAUCUUCCACAAUGGGCGAAAGCCUGAUGGAGCAACGCCGCGUGGGUGAAGAAGGUCUUCGGAUCGUAAAACCCUGUUGUUAGAGAAGAAAGUGCGUGAGAGUAACUGUUCACGUUUCGACGGGAUCUAACCGGAAAGCCACGGCUAACUACGU
This 511-nucleotide ribosomal RNA is filed under the name uncultured bacterium. RNAcentral describes it as "partial 16S ribosomal RNA". It matches the Rfam family "Bacterial small subunit ribosomal RNA", at positions 28 to 506 of the family's 1533-position model. The record is from RNAcentral.